RNAcentral lists this ribosomal RNA (2521 nucleotides) under Triticum aestivum (bread wheat). Its description in RNAcentral is "partial small subunit ribosomal RNA". Lineage: Eukaryota; Viridiplantae; Streptophyta; Magnoliopsida; Poales; Poaceae. The record is from RNAcentral.
UAACGAAACUGGAUCUUCGGAGAAGAGGUUCACACCUUGCUAUAUAAGAGAUUUCUUUUUUGUGUGUGCCUUCCUAUUUGAGAUCACGAGGCAUGAUGACAAAGGGGUCUCUUUUGUUUAACCCGCCUUAACCCUACGCCUUCCUCCUCCGUCGGUACAGCCGUCGUUGCCCCUUCGGCUAGGACAUGUCGUUUACCAAGUCGAGGACGAGCGUGGCCCAAGCCUAGCGGGAAUUGGAGUUUCCACACCUAAAACUCAUGUUUCGCUGGUUGGGCUACUGUCUAGGUCUAAUACUCUUUUAGUUAGGACAAUUCAAACAGGGUCGUAAUCACCUACCCCUAAAACAACAAAGGCUGAGCAAGCGGUAGUAAAACAUAUACCUUCUGUUCAUAGGAGUCACAGGAGAGAAUGGGGCUCUAGACUUUUUCUUUCGAGAAUUAAACGUCUAACGUUCGUAUCACACAAGUUCGUAGGUCGGAGAAGUCUCGGUACGACAGUAGCCAAGCAUAGAACCGUGUUACCUGUGGUUACUCUCGGAAGUCUACCAAGUUGUAAUAUAACUGUUUCCGAAGUCUCGCUAACUCUGUGAAGACCUUCCUACACUGUCAUUUAUACGGUGGCCUCUACUUCAGGUUUACCGUCUACACAAAAACCGCGGGGUCUAGGUGCGACCACACUGUGCGAAGGUUUAGCUAUACAGUUUCAUGGGAUAAAACCGUUCCGAAGUUCUACGAAUGUUACUCGUAGGACGUAAAGUUCGGCGUGAAGGACGCUUGGUUGGUCUACGAGGAGGUAGGGUCACUUCAUUAGUCCUGGAACUACUGACAUUCUAAAAAGUACAAACUAGCUCUAAGAUACUACAUUGAAGUUUCAGUCUACAAGUACAUUCGUUUCUGGGGACCUACUCGAACUGCUACAACGACAUUUUCACUUAUUUACGUUAAAUAGUAUACACGAGAACAUUUUAAGAUCAUAGUUAUUUCUCUUCCUUUCUUUCUUCUGCUCAGUUCGAGUUUGUAACGGGACAAUUCGGCUUUCUCUGUAGUAACCAAUUGUAUAGUAAAACCGGAAUAGAAGAGAAAAACAAGAAAAGAGAUGGAGGGGACGUUGUUAGUUAGUAUGUGGAUCAGGUUCCACUGAAGUAGAUGGACUGAAAGACCCGGGAUAUAUCAGUUAGACUAUGAGUCCUAAUCCAUCGUAGAAGAUGAGAACAGGGGAACACGAGUGUGGACAAAAGACGUGCCACGAGAGAUACAAGUGUACUCCUCUCCUCUUCCUGUUAGGGAAGAGGCCGAGAGGUAUGGUUAUUUAUAUCAGUCUAUGACGACGUAGCAGAGGUAGAUCAUCACCUCCUUCUCCUCUUUCCCCAUCGUCAGUCGGUACCGCUGCCGGUUCGGGUAGGACAUGCCGCGGACCUAGUCGAGAACGAGAGUGGCACAGGCCUAGCGAGAGUUAGAGUUUCCACACCUGAUGCUCAUAUUCCGUCAGUUAGGAGCCUGUCUAGGUCUGAUACUUUUUUAUUUGGGCUAGUUUAUGUAUGGUCGUAACCAUCUACCCCUGAAACAAGAUAGACUAAGAGAGCGAUAGUACAACAUAGACCUUCUAUUCAUAGGAGUCGUAGGAGAUCAUGGAUUUCUAUAGUUUUGCUUUCCAGAGCUAGAAGUCUAACGCUUGUAUCAAACGAGUUCGUAGGUUGGAGAGGUUCCGAUGCCGCAUUAACCAAAUGUGCUCCCAUCCAACUCGGGGCUACUCUCGGAACUCCACCAAGUUGCAAUAUAACUGUUCCCGAAGUCUCGUUAUCUUUUCGAGAACCUACCUACACUGUCGUUUAUAACGCAACCUCUACUUUAGGUAAACCCUCUACACAAAGAUCGGGGUGUCUAGGUACGGCGGUAGUUAGCGAAGGUCUAACUAUACUGCUUCAUGGGUUAGAACAGCGCUGAAGUGCUGCGCAUGUACCUUUAGGGCCGUAAAGUUCGGCGUGACGGGGUCUUAGUCGGUCUACGUGGAAGUCGUUUUAUUAGUUCUUUAGUUCGGUCAAUGUUGAUAUACGCACAUUAAAGGUGUUAUUACUCCUUACAUCAGACGUUACGUACCUUCUUGGAGAGUAUUCAGUAUUGAAUAGUCCAACAGACUCACAUAUGUGAAACCGCAGGUAGAGCGGCUCCGCGCGCAUGUACGGUACCGCUCGACGGCCGGCCCGGGGCCGCGGUACAUUUAAUUAUAACUAGCUAAGUGGUGGUCACUCUAAACCGUUCUUUUUUCUUUCCACUAAACUGCUUAACUGGACAUAAAUGUUGACUACAAGAGAGAACCUAAACAUAAAUGACGAGCUAUAAAAAGCGCCCCCUAAAUAACGACUACAACUAACCCAUUUAAGCGAGACACAGCGUUCGCCACGGCAAAGGCAACCUGCCGGGGACACUAAAAUGCUCCGGCCUUUCACUAAACACGAAUUUAUGGUAGCUACCUAACUACCACUGGGCGACAGUAAAAGUGGCAUAAUUGUUCACUAGACAAC